GCUUAUCACCAUUCCAGAUUGAAUAUACCCGAUCUCGUCUGAUCUCGGAAGUCAAGCAUCUCGGGUUGGUUAGUAUUGGAUGGGUGACCGCUUGGGAAUACCAAGUGUGAUAGAAU
This is a non-coding RNA of Ciona savignyi (Pacific transparent sea squirt), 116 nucleotides long. The record is from Rfam. NCBI's taxonomy places the organism in Eukaryota, Metazoa, Chordata, Ascidiacea, Phlebobranchia, Cionidae.